Neopelma chrysocephalum (saffron-crested tyrant-manakin) is the source of this 4788-nucleotide long non-coding RNA. RefSeq lists it as uncharacterized. The record is from RefSeq and is a predicted model, not a curated record. Lineage: Eukaryota; Metazoa; Chordata; Aves; Passeriformes; Pipridae. The transcript is spliced from 5 exons.
UUAGAAGUAGUGACACAGAUUAUAACUGCAAAGUCAGUAUUGCUAUCGGUAAAUUAAGCCUUAAUGUAACAACCCUUUCUGCUUCACCAGUCUUGCAGGCCUUGUGGUUUUAUCAUCAGUGAAAGGACCAGCUGAAAAAUUGCCAACAGAAAGCUCGGCCAUAAAGGGUACAAAUUCAAGAUUGCCAUAAAGCAUUUCAUAGGGUUUCCCCUUUUAGCAACAGCUGUCAAACUGUAAGAGGGUGGUGCUGGGGUUUUGUUGUUUACUUAAAAGAAACAAACAACCACAGAUGCCCAGUCCAGCAUCAAAGAAACCAUCACCACUAAUGGAGAGAAUUCACACUUUUAUUCAAUUUGAGCAGUGCUCGGGGUAUCUGUUACCUGGGAUGAAACCACUAUUCUGCCAGGGGUGAAGAAUAUUUUCGGAAGUGAAUUGUUUCUAAAUACUUGCCUGGGAAUCAGGGGAUAAGCCUCUGUUUAAGAAAACAGCUUUUUUUGCUGAGCUAUUGCAAAGAGGUGUCCACGUGAUUAAACUGAAACAAAAGUGUAUUGGGGAUCUUCCUGCUUCCGAGUUUUUUUCCCUGCCCACAAAAUUUCACCAGAAUAAGAAAGUGAAACAAAUCAGAUGUGGUUUAUUUUGUCAUCCAGACAUUUAGAUACCAGUGAUAGUAUUACAUAGCAAGCAGACAUCUACAUUGUUACAUAUCUCAAGACAGUUUGUUGUUGGUUUUUUUUUGAUCCAGGAGAAAACACCAUAAAUUAAAAGACUCAAAAUUUGUAGAAAUUGUGUGGAGGAAAAAAAAAUAGAUUGAGUAUGAAUGAAUAGUAAAAGACAUGAUCCUAAAGAAACAAAACUGAUUAGAUAUUCCUAUUUUUGUUUUAUUUGUAAGUAUGUUAGAACUGGAAUUGCCUUUUGUCCCCACAAAACCACUGAGAAUACUUUAACACCAGCAAAUUAGUAGGACACAUUGAUUUAAUGAGAGGUUGGGGCUCAAUGCAAAACUUCUCAGCUUAUAAAUAUGAGUUGUUUUGAGCUCAUUUUGCUCUUUUUAUUCAUGAGCAAGAUCACAAAAGAAGAAAACAAGUUCAUGCAGUUCUGAGGAAUAAUGAAGUAAUCAAAAAAAGGCUAUUUCAAAAAUAGCCAUUAUAAGCUAAUAGCCAAACUAAAAGUAAAAAUAGGUGCACAGGGGUCUAUUUAAUUGCUAAUGGAUACAGUAGCAUAAUGCAAUCUGUUAUUGGUUUUGAAAACUGAAGUCUUUGUCUAUAUUAAUAUUGUCCAGAAAGUUCUUUUCUUCCAUUUUAGGCAACAAGACCCCAUGACAUCCCUUCGACUCCCACAACACACACCUGCAGAGUUAGUUAAGGUUUUUAAAUAAAAGUUUUCUUGUACUAAUAAAAGAAACUGCAAAUUUACAGCUUCGACUUCAUCCGGAUGGAAGAAUAUCUGAAGCCUGAGCCAUCCUUGAUAACUUGCAGCUCCUUCACAGCUCGCACAGUUUAACAUUCUGUCGUAUAAAAGGGUUUAAGGAAAGCCUAAUUAUUACAGAAGCAAUUUCCCUUCAAGGUGAUACAGCCACCACUACUGCCAGACUCAAGAAUCCUUACAGGAGACAGUGACUCUUGAAAAUCCAGGCUUGGAGCUGCUGUUCUAAUGGUUGGCUGAACCAAGGCAGAAUCCUCAUUGCUUGUUGUUCAGCAUUUUCAUCAUAAAUUCCUGUGCCUUGAGUGGUUAUUGAAGAUGAAAAUGUGGAUUCAGAGCUGCCCAGUUGUUCCGUGCAUGUCUUAGAAGAUUUCCUUAGCUUGAAAAGAGCUGUGGAAGGAAAAACCCUUCAGCCUGUUGGCCUGACAUUGGAGACACAAAUUUGAAUAUCACAUCAGACAAGUUCACUUCUUACUGGUCUGUCACCCCUGGCAAGUUCUUUGUCUUCUAAAAUGUAGGUGUUUUGGGAUGUGGAAAAUUACCUUGUCUGUACUUUUCAUGGCCGUGUGGUAUUAAAAGACAGUAAAAGUAGACAACUAACAAGGGAACAUCUUUACAAGAGGGCAAAGAAGCAUUUAGACCUGUGGGAGAUGACUCUUUCCCCCUCUCUCUUUUUUCCCUGCACACACACACACACACACACAGAGCCCAGGCCUUGAGUGAUCAAUGCUCUGCCGGGCCGGGCUCCUGCUGCACUCACCAGCUUCUAACAAAGCAGCUGCUUCCCUGGGCUGCUGGAGCAGCUCCUCAGGACAGGGCAACAUCCUCCCAAAGCCAGGCUUUGUUUGCAUCCCGACUGCCACAGCACACGAGGGGGAAAUGGGAAUUCAGAGCUGCCAGCUACACUAUCUCCGCUAUCAGCUCACCAAUAAGGCCCAGUACAGACCCGCAGAGCCUCUGGAUAAAUUGUAUUUUCCAAGGGUUAAUUAAGCUGUCUUGAGCUUCUGCAUGAAGGGGAACAAACUGGCACUUGCAGCGUUUUCUGAAACCUGCUGUCGACAUUGCAGUCCCUGCUGCUUUUAGCUAUAUCGAUCCGCUGCCUGACCUGUGAAAUCCUUGAUGGCUGCUAACACUGGAAGCUUACUGGAGCUUUCCAAGGGAGCUUCAGGACAGCUUGUGUAGUCAAGUACAAUUACCUGUCCCUCCAGGAGAGCCAAUUAGUUCACAAAGAGCUGGAGCAGAACAAAUGUUUUGUGUGUGAUUUAGAAUCUUUUUAAAAAAAAAAAAAAAAGGGCUUUGUUCUGUCUCAUUCUUUUGUUUCUAAUUUUAUGAUUAUUGCUCCGCUCAUGACAAUCCACACGGCGUUUCCUUACGUGUCUCAUCAAGGACUACUUGGGCAUGAGAAAACAGAUUUACAGUUAUUAUUUUUGCGACAGAAAAAAAGCCUCCUGUGCGAUGCAAAAAGCCAGCCUUAGCCAUUUGAAAUACCAUGGACCUAAAAGUAGAAUGCUCACAUACUGGAUAUUUUCAGAGCCGUAGAUUAAUGUGUUUAAAGCACGCAGCAUAUGCAGAUAUUUGUGCUGUGGUUUUUAUAGCACAUAUAUACAUAUAUGUAUAUAUAGUUAUACACGGAUCUCACUUUAAAUUCUGGGGCUCGAUUUGCUGGGAGUGAAAAGGCAGCAACUGUUGUACCAAAAAACAGACCAUAAAAAGAGUGGAAAUUAAAGAGAUCACCGUCUAUAAUAUAACCCAGUUAACGCAAUAUUUACAACUUUUAAAAAUAAAAAUUAAAGACGGUGAGCCAAAAUUUCAUCUCAGUUACUCUGAAGAAUGUUACUAUUUGGCUCAGGUUCUCUGGGGCUAAAAGAGCAGCACUGGCUUGGGCACAAACUUCUUCAAUUAAUCUGAACUAAUAAUUCAAAUAAGUAAGGGCCCAAUAAUUGAAGUGGUCAGUUACAGUGGACCGAUUCCAAACUCUCCACAUAUAAAUCAGAAUACAGCACAGGUGGUUGCCGUAGGAAAAUGUGGAAUGUCAUCAGAGGUGUCCUGAGGUCAGUGAUGAUGAGUUUUGUAGGAAUUGCACAGCUCAGCCCGUUGCUGAAAAUGAAAUCCUUGGAGUUUUGAUUUUUUUGGGAUAUCUUGGCUGUUUGUUUUUAAUCUUCCUUUAGAAGAGUGGUAGAGAGUAGCUGGGCAGAUAGCUGCAAUUUUAACUGUAACUUUUUUUUCCUAGCAAAGUAAACGGUAAAAAAUCCUUACCUUUUCUUAACCAGAGUAAAUUAUAAUGUAAUUUAUGUUAGAAAAUUGGGAGCAAUUAAAUUCCCAGCUGAAGAAAACUCUUGAGUCAGUCCCUAUGCAUAAGAAAAAAGGCUUCCAUGCUCCUGUGCUGGUGAGGACUUUGUGAGAGCUGGAGUUUACAACCUUUCCCUAAAGCAUGAGCUUAUGCAGGAGAUGGCUGCUGUUUACUCACUUCCAGAGCUUUUUCUAUUGUCACCCUGAAUGUCACCAAAUCAUAGGCAUCAAUUUGGGAGAAAAAUGUAAGUUUGGCUCAAGUGUUUUUAUGAGCUCCUUUUCAUCAGCCAUAGAGCAAGUUCCCACAACUAAUUGAGCCUCUGCUCUGAUCAAAUGGUUGGUGAGGGAAGGAACCAGGUGACCAAAGCUUGGUGCCCACACACUGCCCCAAGUGUCACCAAGUGCCUGUUCCCCUCUGCAUUCUGUGCUCUUGUGGUGACACUGCUGAGCUAUGAAGCCCUCAAUUAUUUAUUUGGGAAGCGCUGCAAGUGUGAGGGGCAUUUCUGGAACCUGCAGCUUCACAAUUAAGAAAUAAAGCAGUUUCUUCUACUGUCAGUGGCCUGUAUCCCUGCUUGCUGAGCUGCAUGCUGGGCAGCCAGAGGAGGAAUUGUAGGGGCACAAUGCCAUGGAUUUGCUUUGCUGGUGUAAUUACUUGGCAGCAUUGUCAAUAUUAUCUACCUCACUUAGCAAAAAAAAGGGAUAUUACUGUGAAAAUCUCAACAAUUAUAUUAAAGGAAGCCUUACUCAGGAAGCAUCAUAAAUUGUAUUGCAGCAAGCCUGCAGAGCAAUUCCUUUCCUUGGAUUUCUCCCUCUCUUCCUCGCUGCUUUAUCCAGAAAAACCCCAUGAUGUGGUGGGCAGAGGAAGGAGUGAGUGUUAACCAGCACAAAAGCUGCAGCAUUCCUGGCAGGACGGGGAUUUUUGUCCUUUGGGUCAGGGUUAAGCCCAGCACAGCAGCACUUUCAAACUGACUUAGAGGAGGAGCAGCUGCAGAGGAAGGGUCAGCAAAAGCAAAGUGCUGAGGUGUAACUGUGUGUGGGAGGGAAAUGUUUCCCGGGUUGGUGGUACCAAAUAUUCUUGAU